This 465-nucleotide ribosomal RNA is filed under the name uncultured bacterium. RNAcentral describes it as "partial 16S ribosomal RNA". It matches the Rfam family "Bacterial small subunit ribosomal RNA", at positions 28 to 507 of the family's 1533-position model. The record is from RNAcentral.
GAUGAACGCUGGCGGCGUGCUUAACACAUGCAAGUCGAACGGAAAGGCUCCUGCUUGCCGGGGUACUCGAGUGGCGAACGGGUGAGUAACACGUGGGUGAUCUGCCCUGCACUUCGGGAUAAGCCUGGGAAACUGGGUCUAAUACCGGAUAGGACGAUGGUUUGGAUGCCAUUGUGGAAAGUUUUUCGGUGUGGGAUGAGCUCGCGGCCUAUCAGCUUGUUGGUGGGGUAAUGGCCUACCAAGGCGUCGACGGGUAGCCGGCCUGAGAGGGUGUACGGCCACAUUGGGACUGAGAUACGGCCCAGACUCCUACGGGAGGCAGCAGUGGGGAAUAUUGCACAAUGGGCGCAAGCCUGAUGCAGCGACGCCGCGUGGGGGGUGACGGCCUUCGGGUUGUAAACUCCUUUCGCUAGGGACGAAGCGCAAGUGACGGUACCUGGAGAAGAAGCACCGGCUAACUACGUG